UACGUAGGGUGCGAGCGUUGUCCGGAAUUAUUGGGCGUAAAGAGCUUGUAGGCGGUUUGUCGCGUCUGCUGUGAAAAUCCGGGGCUCAACCCCGGACUUGCAGUGGGUACGGGCAGACUAGAGUGUGGUAGGGGAGACUGGAAUUCCUGGUGUAGCGGUGGAAUGCGCAGAUAUCAGGAGGAACACCGAUGGCGAAGGCAGGUCUCUGGGCCACUACUGACGCUGAGGAGCGAAAGCAUGGGGAGCGAACAGG
RNAcentral lists this ribosomal RNA (253 nucleotides) under uncultured bacterium. Its description in RNAcentral is "partial 16S ribosomal RNA". It matches the Rfam family "Bacterial small subunit ribosomal RNA", at positions 524 to 776 of the family's 1533-position model. The record is from RNAcentral.